CCACCAGGCCAGAGGCUCCGACUGGAGGCGCCGCGAACGCGGCCGGGGCAGGGGGCGGGGGGCUUCCUGCGAGGUGGAUGGGGAGUGGGAGGGGGAAGAGGCCAGGGGAGCAAGGCCUGCCCGUCCCCACUUCCUUAGUGAGCGGGGAAAUGCGGGAUCCCAUCUCACCCGUCCUGCUUUGGGUGGCAAGGCUGGGGCCCUUGGUUUCCCCAAGCAGGAAGGGGUUAAGGGCCCCGAGGGGGCAAGGGGAGUGGGCCGAGCUCCGAGGUGCGGCUCCGCCGGGCCUGGAAGCCAAGACCCGGGAAUGCUUGCGUCCUUUCUGCAGACGCAGCGAUCUUCCUGGCUGGAGUGGCCGAGCAGGGCCAGGGGCCACGGGACUGACGGCCUGGUGGGCGCGGGGCUGCUCCUGGCGCCCAAGCCCCUUGCCUGCCCGUCUGGGACUGAGGGGCCAAGCCUGUGAUGGGCGCCCGGGCGGAAGAGAUUGAACUGGGCAUCCUGGAUGUUACCUGGAAACUCUAUUUGGAUCCUGAAUAGUCUACUUGGUCAGCCCCUGCCCACAGGGAAGUUUCAGUCCAAUAGGAGAGAGGAACUGUUGAGAACUGAGCCACAUGGAUCCUUUUCCUCAGCACCUUCAAAGACGUGCCAUGACAGUGAGGAUGAACUGGGUCGGGAAAGAGCCUUGAGCGCUUCUGGAAAACCUCCUAACUCUUAACCCAGUGUGCACCAGCCCUCUGCAUUCUGCCCUCACUACCUGCCUGGUGGAUGAUUACCCGCUGACCUGGGACCUCAUCCUCAGCCUCUCCGGCUUUAUCCUGGAUCACCAAGAAUGGCAUUGGGACAGGAGAGAGAGAAGAGCUGCGCCUGCACUCGUACAGAACCAGAUCCUCGUGCUUUUUGAAUCGAGUUUCUUCUAUUGUUCCACGUUAUGGUUCCAAGUUAUGUUUGCGGCUCAUCUAAGAAGACGACGACUCUAAAGAGGAAAUAGUACUAAAGGCGGAUAUUCUUGGAUGCAAGUAUCCAUUUCCUGUGGCCAUAGUUCAAAAACCCCCCCUGCCCCCUGCCCCCUCCUCUUCCUCUCUUCCCUUUGCAGUUACUGCUAACAGCUAACAUGGAUUGAGUGCCCACUACCUGUGGGGGCACUUGUUCAGGGCGUCAUCAUGAGCUACAUCCUAUCACUGUCCCUGUCUCACAGAUGGUAAAAUGAAGGCUUAGAGGCUCAAGUAACCCAUUCAAGGUCAAACUUUCAGUGUACAGGGGAGCAGAUAGUGGGUUCUGAGCUAGCCUUGUCUGUCUCCAGGGGCUGUGCUCCCAGCUUCCAGGAUUCUGUGGGUUCUUCAGAGGGCAGUUUAGGUCCCAUCCCCUCCCUGAGGUUGUUCUAGAUUAUUCCAGCCUUUACUAGGGCCUGCUGUGCCUGAUCUCCUGCAGUAUUUACUGCCGCCCCCGCAACUCGCCAAUCAGUUGCUAGCUGCAACAUACCUGUGUGCAUGCACCUCGAUUCUCCAACUGGACAAAGCCUUGAGCAUUUGGAAGGGAAGGGACAUGUCUUGGGUAUUUCAUGCACUCCCACAGUUUGUGCACAGUUCCUAGAUAAAUACCUCAGAAUCAGAUGCCUCGUGUGUGUGUGUGUGUGUGUGUGUGUGUGUGUGUGUGUGUAUGUCUGUGUGUGUGUGUGUGUGUACAGAGUCCUGUGUGUGUGUGUAUGUGUGUGUGUGAGAGAAAGAGAGACAGAUGGGAGCUUUCAGACAGUGAUGCUGAUUCCUGCACUGCAAGUCAUUAGCAGCAGACACAAGAAGGACCCCCGUGCCACCCCCAGGGGCUCAACCCCCAUGACCACAAAGCUGCAGAGCAGAGGCUGGGGACUCAGGCUGCUCCUUUUCGCCCUGCCGCCAGCGGAUGUCAGACACUCAGGCACUCAGCUGCUCUAGGGUCCUGCUGCCCCCUCGCCCUUCACCUGAUCUAUCUGUGUGAGUUUCAGGAGACUCUGGGUAAUUAUGUGGUAAUUGAAUUUAGGGAAACAGACCCUAAGGAUAAUCCUUGAGUCAGUUCCAGGAGAUUCAUGGUUUAAUUUCCAUAUUUAGCUAGUGGUACAUAUUAUACGGUUCCUGACAGCACAGCAAUCACCUCGUCCUUAUGUAUUUAGUUUUGUUUUAACACGAGGUUCAGAAUAGUAGAGAUAUGGGCAUGUUACUCCAAAACACACACACACACACACACACACACACACACACAGAGUUAACAACAAGCAGAAGACACAGCACACACCCCUUUUUUAUUUUCAUAUGUGGUCUUAACGUAAGCUGUGUGGAUAAGGCCUGACACAGUAAAAACUCACCAAAUGCUGCCUGUAAUUAUUAUUUCACUUAAUUAUCUGCAAGUUCUCAAAUCUGGAUAGGGGCAGAGAGCUGGCAUUGCCAAUGGACGUCCAAGGUGCGUGUGCAUGCCUGCGUGAGUGUGCAUGUGCGUGUGCAUUUAGGGCUGGAGGAGAGUGGUGGCAAUGCAGCCCGUACUGGCAGGAACGCCUCUCGUUUGCUGCCUGAGCUAAGGAUCCUUUCAAACGCACCAUGGAGUUUAAUAUUGCCAACGACUGGCCCUGACUCCUUUCAACCUGCGCCAGGUGUAAUGUAAACCUCCCUGCAUUUCCUCCCUUUCCUGUUUCAUCUGAGAAAUUCUUCACUAAUUCCAUGGUAUCUGGUUUCUCAUUGUUUCUCUCUGCUUUAGAGAGCCCCUUGGGGUGGGCUUUAGAAAGGUGUGCUUAGCGCUCUCAGCCCUCCGAAAUGACACAGGCUCUUCCCUCACUACCACCACUAUUCUCCGGAACCUCUUACAAGGGACUUCGCUGGCUGUCAGGGCAAAAUAAGCCAUAACAUCCUGGGGAGAUGAGCAAAUGCCUGUCACAAAAUCAGAGGAUGGUCUUGGGUGGUCUGUAAAGCAGCAUCCAAACUGAGAAAACGGGACAGUCGUAUUCAGCUCCUUUGUAAUAUAACACUGAGGUUAUAGUAAUGUAACAGAAUAAUGGCGUGUCUUCCAUCCUUUGUUGAAGUAGUGCUCUUUGGGGUUGAAGACAAGGAGGAAUACAGCCGGAUGGAGGAGGCCUGGGCUGUUCCAGAUGCAAGCAGGAGACCAUCUAAUUUCCUCUGAUUCUCUAAAGGAGGUGGGAUUACAAAAUCAUGUGAAUGUUGGGGGGUGGGGAGAGAAGAACCUGGAAAGCAGAAUCCCUCCCAUGAACAACGGAAGUGAACAUCCUUAUAGCCAUUUCCUGCUUUGUGUUUUGUGCUCCCCACUCUCCUAUCAGUGCUGAGGGGAGAGAGGAGGCACUGGGCAGGGUGAAGGAGACUCAGGACUGGCCAGGUUCCUUUCAACCUUCAAUGCGUCUUCC
This is a long non-coding RNA of Lagenorhynchus albirostris (white-beaked dolphin), 3376 nucleotides long. RefSeq lists it as uncharacterized. The transcript is spliced from 4 exons. NCBI's taxonomy places the organism in Eukaryota, Metazoa, Chordata, Mammalia, Artiodactyla, Delphinidae. The record is from RefSeq and is a predicted model, not a curated record.